GUAGGGAAUAUUGGGCAAUGGAUGCAAGUCUGACCCAGCCAUCCCGCGUGCCGGAAGAAGGCCCUCAGGGUUGUAAACGGCUUUUGACGGUGAAGAAUCGACAGGAUGCGUCCUGUUUUGACGGUAGCCGUUGAAUAAGCACCGGCUAACUCCGUGCCAGCAGCCGCGGUAAUACGGAGGGUGCGAGAGUUGUCCGGAUUUAUUGGGUUUAAAGGGUGCGUAGGCUGGAAGGUCAGUCAGCGGUGAAAAGCUGUCGCUUAACGAUAGUCUUGCCGCAGAUACUUCCUUUCUUGGAUGAGGAGGAGGCCACUGGAACGGAUGGUGUAGCGGUGAAAUGCAUAGAUAUCAUCCAGAACACCGAUUGCGAAGGCAGGUGGCUGUACCUUAAUCGACGCUGAUGCACGAAAGCAUGGGGAGCAAACAGGAUUAGAAACCCUGGUAGUCC
RNAcentral lists this ribosomal RNA (445 nucleotides) under uncultured bacterium. RNAcentral's name for it is "partial 16S ribosomal RNA". It matches the Rfam family "Bacterial small subunit ribosomal RNA", at positions 354 to 796 of the family's 1533-position model. The record is from RNAcentral.